CCUACGUGAGGCAGCAGUGAGGAAUAUUGGUCAAUGGACGAGAGUCUGAACCAGCCAAGCAGCGUGAAGGAUGACUGUCCUAUGGGUUGUAAACUUCUUUUAUAUGGGAAUAAAAUGUUCCACGUGUGGGAUUUUGUAUGUACCAUAUGAAUAAGGAUCGGCUAACUCCGUGCCAGCAGCCGCGGUAAUACGGAGGAUCCGAGCGUUAUCCGGAUUUAUUGGGUUUAAAGGGAGCGUAGGUGGAUUGUUAAGUCAGUUGUGAAAGUUUGCGGCUCAACCGUAAAAUUGCAGUUGAAACUGGCAGUCUUGAGUACAGUAGAGGUGGGCGGAAUUCGUGGUGUAGCGGUGAAAUGCUUAGAUAUCACGAAGAACUCCGAUUGCGAAGGCAGCUCACUGGACUGCAACUGACACUGAGGCUCGAAAGUGUGGGUAUCAAACAGGAUUAGAUACCCCUGUAGUC
This 460-nucleotide ribosomal RNA is filed under the name uncultured bacterium. Its description in RNAcentral is "partial 16S ribosomal RNA". It matches the Rfam family "Bacterial small subunit ribosomal RNA", at positions 338 to 795 of the family's 1533-position model. The record is from RNAcentral.